This 1382-nucleotide long non-coding RNA is filed under the name Homo sapiens (human). RNAcentral describes it as "HSALNT0375863". Lineage: Eukaryota; Metazoa; Chordata; Mammalia; Primates; Hominidae. The record is from RNAcentral.
GAAACAAACAGUACAGUUUAAAUCCCAUUAUAGAGGUAUUGAGAGGAUGCGUUGGGAGCAGGCAAGAAGAAUUACCAUGGGAAAAUCUGAGAAACAUUUUUAAGGGGAUGAAGAAUAGGAAAUUAUCGUAAGACACACUGGGAGAGAUACUGCUCAUGUCAAUUGGAAGAGCAACAUAAAAACAUGAAGAUGGCAACAAGGGGCUACUUCUGGGCAUCCUGUGAGUCAAGAUGCUGAGACAUACAGUUUCACUUAUUUUUGACAUCCUGAAGGCAACUGGAUGUUUCAAGUUCAGAUGAUGAGAAAGGUCUCCAUAAAAUUCAAGCUUUGGGGUAUGAAAACAGUGUUCAAAUAAAGCUGCUAGAGGUGCUUUCAAACACUGCCAAAAACGAAGAUGACAUGAUGAUAAUCUAAUAGACUUGGAGCCAGCAUCUGACAGUGGUGUCUUUAAGAGUUGAUUGGGCUCCUUCCUCCUGAGUGGGUUUAAGUACCUAACAAAAGAGGCUUCAAGCAGUAUUCAGCUCUCUUGCCCUUCCGCUCUCUGCUAUGUGAAGACACAGUGUUCCUCCCCUCUCCCUUCUGGAAGACACAGCGACAAUGUGCCAUAUCGGAAGGAAGCAGAGAACAUCCCUCACCAAAUAAUCAAUCCUGCUGGUGCCUUAAUUAUGAACUUCUCAGCCUGCAGAACUCAUGAAGGCCAUCAUCGGAUGUGGGCUGAUUGAUCUUGGACUUCCAAGCCUCCAGAACUAGAACUACUCCACCAUCAUCUGAUGUGGUUCUGAUGGCUGUGUGUUUCUCAGCUUUAUCCUCAGCCUGUGGGUAAUUUAAAAUAAAUACUUUUGCAAGUGAACCAAUAGAAAUAUUUCACUGUCAUUGGGCAGAAAGCUAAAAACCUAAUUACGUUGGAAGUAGGAAGAGGAAGUAAGUAUGGUUGGAAGAGGUGGAGUCUGGUGCUGCCAGAGCAGAAAGCACAAAGAAGAACGUGCUUUUAGGUGGGUGCCCUAAGAGACAUGAUAAGUGAAAAAGGCCUAGAUGCCCCAAAUUGCAAAAGUAAUGAAAAAGACCCAGUGAUAAUAAUGCGAUUGGAAAGGAAGACACUGAUUUCUCACAUGACUGUGGCAAACUGUGAAGAGUGAAAAUUCCAGAAGACUUAAAUUGUCUAUAGUUUUGGCAUCUCUCCCUCUAUGUACUUGCUAUCUUUUUUUUGCUUUUAAGUCUGCUUAGUUACAACUGCAGACCACAGUAAAAUUAUAGAUUUGGAGAUGUUGGAAUGUUUCCUCAAAGAUAAAAGCCAAUUAAAAAAAUUUUAACAAAGAACAGAAGAAGCAAUCAAGAGUUUGUAACAAAUUAUUAGGAUUAAUAAAAAAUAUGCUUUGUAGCCC